AUUGAACGCUGGCGGCAUGCCUUACACAUGCAAGUCGAACGGCAGCACGGGAGCUUGCUCCUGGUGGCGAGUGGCGAACGGGUGAGUAAUACAUCGGAACGUACCCUGAAGUGGGGGAUAACGUAGCGAAAGUUACGCUAAUACCGCACAUUCUGUGAGCAGGAAAGAGGGGGAUCGCAAGACCUCUUGCUUUAGGAGCGGCCGAUGUCGGAUUAGCUAGUUGGUGAGGUAAAGGCUCACCAAGGCGACGAUCCGUAGCGGGUCUGAGAGGAUGAUCCGCCGCACUGGGACUGAGACACGGCCCAGACUCCUACGGGAGGCAGCAGUGGGGAAUUUUGGACAAUGGGCGCAAGCCUGAUCCAGCCAUGCCGCGUGAGUGAAGAAGGCCUU
RNAcentral lists this ribosomal RNA (390 nucleotides) under uncultured bacterium. RNAcentral describes it as "bacterial SSU rRNA". It matches the Rfam family "Bacterial small subunit ribosomal RNA", at positions 30 to 418 of the family's 1533-position model. The record is from RNAcentral.